This 492-nucleotide ribosomal RNA is filed under the name uncultured bacterium. RNAcentral's name for it is "partial 16S ribosomal RNA". It matches the Rfam family "Bacterial small subunit ribosomal RNA", at positions 29 to 507 of the family's 1533-position model. The record is from RNAcentral.
AGUGAACGCUGGCGGUAGGCCUAACACAUGCAAGUCGAACGGCAGCACAGUAAGAGCUUGCUCUUACGGGUGGCGAGUGGCGGACGGGUGAGGAAUACAUCGGAAUCUACUUUUUCGUGGGGGAUAACGUAGGGAAACUUACGCUAAUACCGCAUACGACCUACGGGUGAAAGCAGGGGAUCUUCGGACCUUGCGCGAUUGAAUGAGCCGAUGUCGGAUUAGCUAGUUGGCUGGGUAAAGGCCCGCCAAGGCGACGAUCCGUAGCUGGUCUGAGAGGAUGAUCAGCAACACUGGAACUGAGACACGGUCCAGACUCCUACGGGAGGCAGCAGUGGGGAAUAUUGGACAAUGGGCGCAAGCCUGAUCCAGCCAUACCGCGUGGGUGAAGAAGGCCUUCGGGUUGUAAAGCCCUUUUGUUGGGAAAGAAAAGCAGCAGGUUAAUACCCCGCUGUUCUGACGGUACCCAAAGAAUAAGCACCGGCUAACUUCGUG